GAUGAACGCUGGCGGCGUGCCUAAUACAUGCAAGUCGAGCGAAUGGAUUAAGAGCUUGCUCUUAUGAAGUUAGCGGCGGACGGGUGAGUAACACGUGGGUAACCUGCCCAUAAGACUGGGAUAACUCCGGGAAACCGGGGCUAAUACCGGAUAACAUUUUGAACUGCAUGGUUCAAAAUUGAAAGGCGGCUUCGGCUGUCACUUAUGGAUGGACCCGCGUCGCAUUAGCUAGUUGGUGAGGUAACGGCUCACCAAGGCAACGAUGCGUAGCCGACCUGAGAGGGUGAUCGGCCACACUGGGACUGAGACACGGCCCAGACUCCUACGGGAGGCAGCAGUAGGGAAUCUUCCGCAAUGGACGAAAGUCUGACGGAGCAACGCCGCGUGAGUGAUGAAGGCCUUCGGGUUGUAAAGCUCUUUCGCAAGGGAAGAAACGAUACAGUCUAAUAAACUGUGUUAAUGACGGUACCUUGCUAAGAAGCACCGGCUAACUACGUGCCAGCAGCCGCAGUAA
Molecule: ribosomal RNA, 514 nt
Filed under: uncultured bacterium
Lineage: Bacteria
Description: partial 16S ribosomal RNA
Rfam family: Bacterial small subunit ribosomal RNA
Source: RNAcentral